UGCCAGCUUCUUGAAUUUAUG
Molecule: non-coding RNA, 21 nt
Filed under: Rattus norvegicus (Norway rat)
Lineage: Eukaryota; Metazoa; Chordata; Mammalia; Rodentia; Muridae
Source: RNAcentral